GGGCGGUUAGCUCAGUUGGUACGAGCGCUCGCUUCACACGCGAGAGGUCACUGGUUCAAGUCCAGUACCGCCCACCA
RNAcentral lists this transfer RNA (77 nucleotides) under Chloroflexota bacterium. RNAcentral describes it as "Chloroflexi bacterium tRNA-Val". It matches the Rfam family "tRNA". Rfam says of the family: Transfer RNA (tRNA) molecules are approximately 80 nucleotides in length. Their secondary structure includes four short double-helical elements and three loops (D, anti-codon, and T loops). The record is from RNAcentral. Lineage: Bacteria; Bacillati; Chloroflexota. RNAcentral also lists the same sequence under 1 other name.